CCUACGGGUGGCAGCAGUGAGGAAUAUUGGUCAAUGGCCGGAAGUCUGAACCAGCCAAGCCGCGUGAAGGACGAAGGUGCCAAGCAUUGUAAACUUCUUUUGUCAAGGGACAAAAUCAGGCUCGCGAGCCUGACCGAGGGUACUUGAAGAAAAAGCAUCGGCUAACUCCGUGCCAGCAGCCGCGGUAAUACGGGGGAUGCGAGCGUUAUGCGGAUUUAUGGGGUUAAAAGGGUGCGUAGGCGGACUGUUAAGUCAGCGGUAAAAGCCCGGGGCUCAACCCGGGCGAGCCGUUGAAACUGGCUGGCUUGAGAUGACGAGAGGUAUGCGGAAUGCGCAGUGUAGCGGUGAAAUGCUUAGAUAUCACACAGAACACCGAUUGCGAAGGCAUCUCACGAAGCCGCGAUUGACGCUGAUGCACGAAAGCGUGGGGAGCAAACAGGAUUAGAUACCCCAGUAGUC
Molecule: ribosomal RNA, 459 nt
Filed under: uncultured bacterium
Lineage: Bacteria
Description: partial 16S ribosomal RNA
Rfam family: Bacterial small subunit ribosomal RNA
Source: RNAcentral